This is a long non-coding RNA of Orcinus orca (killer whale), 5622 nucleotides long. RefSeq lists it as uncharacterized. The record is from RefSeq and is a predicted model, not a curated record. The transcript is spliced from 2 exons. NCBI's taxonomy places the organism in Eukaryota, Metazoa, Chordata, Mammalia, Artiodactyla, Delphinidae.
UCUAUUUUGGGGGGUGGGCUGGGAUGGGGGCCUGAGGGGAAAAUCCCAACAUUUCUACCAUUCUGCCUUCCACCUCUCUUCCUUGAGUGGAGAAGGAAUUGCAAAUCUUAUUGGUCAGAAGCUGAGAUGCUCACUAAGCCAAGUUCUACUAGUGCGUGGGGACCACUGGGCUUGGAAGACAUACAGCUCUGCCCGACCUUCUUUUUCGCCUCUUGCAUCUUUGCAUACCAGGCCUUCUUCCUACGUUCAGUUUUGCUUCCAGCUUCUCUGGAGAGGGCCUAUCUGUUAAAGAUGGAACCAGUCAUUCUUUUUGUCUUGGUUUAGGUUUCCCAAGAAACAGACCCUGAAACAAGGAUAGGAGUGGAAGUAAUUUCUUUGGGAUGGUGAUUCCAGGGUUCAAGAUAGGGAAGUGGGAAAGUGAGGCAGGGAGGAGAAUAGGGUCACAAAGGGUGUGUUAUCAAGGAAGUCAUCCCUGUGGGCACUUGGACCUCAGUUUCACUUGGGACAUCUAGCGUAGACUAUACAUCUAGGAGUUAUCCCCUCCAAGGGUGGAGUGCUGAUAAAUGACACACCAACCCCCAUCCAUCACUUGUUAAGGUAUCCUUUUAUGGGGUGUCAAUCCUCUGGUACUUCCAGACAGCCCUGAAAGUGUAGAGCCAGAAAGGCCAUCAGGCAAAGAGAUGCAGUUGUCAUGGGCCAGGUGUCAGGAGCAUCUGCUCUGCUUCCUCUCUCUAUUGCGUGACUUCUCCAUUUGUAGUUGAGUGGGAUCCACCACUUGUCCACACGGUCAGUGGAAUCCUGUGCCACAGACCCAGGUGACCGAGACGCAAGGAAGCAGGAAUGCAGAAACCUCACUUCCCAUCAGAGCCACGCUCUCCAGUCCAGCCUGUGCCUCAGAAGCCCUGCACUAGAGAUGGGGGCACCUUUGGGUGCUUGUCCAGUGGUUAAUUAAGCUGAUAUUUUGCAACUCACCUGGUUCUUUCACUUGUGGCUGCCCCUCCCUUGUCAGGAGUCUCAGGAGGGGAGAAGGCGUGGAGUGUAGGAUUUGCAGGACCCAAAUCCGAAUUCCAGCCUGUGGUGUGUAUGUUAGCCAUCUUUUGCUUUCCUGUUUUUCAGAUUGUCCAUUUUGAAAAUUAUAGUAUUCUGUUACGUGAAGGCAGGAGAUUUUACAGAGAAGAGCAGGAAAGUUUUCCUUCUUUUAAACUUAAAUUCAAUAGCAGCUUCAAAAAAAAAAAAAUCACAGCAGCCCCGUUCAAGCUCGUGAGCCAUGACAAGCAGAGGUUAAGUUUGGAUUUCAUUCAAAAGUCUACAUUCAUUUAUGCUUCCUCUGUGAGAUAAAGUAACCAAUUUCAAAUUCGGCUGUAGGUCUCCAAUUACGUAUCUUUUUUAAACAAACCCACAAUUCUAACAGAUGAGAGCUGUGUGAUAUCUUUCUCCCCUUCUCAGAAUUGAAGUGCACACUGAAAAGUCCAUCACACGUUUAGCUACCAAUGUUUAAGUAAAUUCUUCCUCUAUGGAAUGAGAAAUGUCAACCUUAGGCUAAAUGUGCUGUGUUUAAAUUUUAAUUGUAGCCACAAAUGUACAAAGACUCUAUAAAUAUACCUGUGUGCCUAGGAAGCUCUCCCAAGAAAGGUCAAACAGGAUGACAAUAGCAAAGGAGAAGUAAAGGGGAAGAGAGAUUCCCGUUAGGUAAAGGGAGCUGGUGCUAUUGAAAUUGACAAUGCAUGCAUUACUGAAGGGUAAGAGAGUGCUAUUUUUGCUUGAGAAAUAAUAGGGCAUUAUAAUCAUCUUCUGGAAGAAGCUGUAAAGCUAGGAGGACAUGAUAGCUGUUUGAAAAGCAAUUAAGCCAUCUCCAAGUCCUCUAGGACUGAAAAUAAAUGCUGGAAGAAAUGCAAAUAGCUUGCAGCCCCCAUCAUGUGUCAGCCCUUCACCAGCCCUGAGCCCUGCCAGAGCUGAUGAAGGGCAUUUGGUGAAAUGUUACAUGGGAAGCAGGGGCAUGCAGAGCUAGAGCAUGAAGCAAAAAGACUGUGUUUAAGAUCAUGGAGAAAGGGAUUUGUCAAUGGUCAUUUGUAACAGGCUGAUUGCAAAACAGAUGUUCUCUGUGCUGUGUCAUAAGGUGUUGGGUAUGCGUGUCAGGAUAAGUUCACACAGACCCAUUUUUCAGGUGUCCAGCUCUACCUAAUGGUUCCUUACAAAACAAAUACAACCUAGAGUGGACUCGGAAAACAAGCACAACCAAAGGUAAUUGCUUAGGCCUUCCUAGGAUUUGUUAUUCUUUCAAACUUCAUUUAUCGAUGAGUAUCACCCCUUACAGCAGACUUUCUUAACCUGGAUGCUAUUGCCACUUGGUUCUGGAUAAUUCUUGGUUGGGGGCUUUCUUGUACUUUAUAGGAUGUUUAGAAGCAUCACUGGCUUCUGCCGACUAGAGGCCAGUAGUGCCCUGCUCCAGUUGUGACAAUCAAAAAUGUCUCCAGAUACAAAUGAACUUAUUUACAAAACAGAAACAGACUCACAUAGAAAACAAACAUGGUUACCAAAGGGAGAAGGGGGUGGGGGAAGGAUAAAUUAGGAGUUUGGGAUUAGCAGAUACAAACUAAUAUAUAGAAAAUAGAUAAAAAAAACAAGGUCUAGGGCUUCCCUGGUGGCGCAGUGGUUGAGAGUCCGCCUGCUGAUGCAGGGGACACAGGUUCGUGCCCCGGUUCGGGGAGAUCCCACAUGCUGCGGAGCGGCUGGGCCUGUGAGCCAUGGCCGCUGAGCCUGUGCGUCCGGAGCCUGGGCUCCGCAACGGGAGAGGCCACAGCAGUGAGAGGCCCGUGUACCGCAAAAAAACAAAACAAAAACAAAAACAAAAACAAAACAAGGUCUUACUGUAUAGCACAGGGAACGCUAUUCAAUAUCUUGUAAUGACCUAUAAUGGAAAAGAAUCUGAAAAAGAAUAUAUAUGUAACUGAAUCACUUUGCUGUACACCUGAAACUAACACAGCAUUGUAAAUCAACUAUACUUCAAUAAAAAGAAAAAUGUCUCCAGACAUUGCCAAAUGUCUCCAAGAUUGGGGGAUGGGGUCAAAGUACCCUCAGUAGAGAGCCACCCUAACAGAUCAAGUAGGAAUCCAGACUUUCUUUCCUUUAAACGUAUUCCAGUGUGGUGCCGAGGACGGCCUGUGAUCUUGAAGCUAGGUUGUCUGGCUAUAGCUCCCUGUCCCUACAUUUUACAAAAAAGUGAUCUGGGAUGCUGAGUCUUAUGCCUUCAGCCCCUGGAGGGGGCUGUGGGUUGUAUUAACUGUUUUCUAGAGAAGCUUCUACUCUGAGCUCAAGGUGCUAUUGCUGCUUUCCUAUAUAAAUGAAUUAAAUCAACUAAAACAAUCUAUAAACUCUGCAGGGCUCCAUAUGCAAGGAAAACAUGAAAAAUGAGUCUGAAAGUGAAAAGUCAGUGAUGCCCUAAUGUGUGAAUUUUAAAAUCAGUUGAAUUUAUUACAAGGUCAGCAGUAAUGGUGUAUUAAUACCCCGAUCUAUGCCAUGGGACAAGCAGAUUUUUAGAGUGUGUGUGAUGGAGGGGAGGGGUGGAGUGUGUAGUAGAGUCCGUCUCAGGAGGCGCCCCAUACUGUUGAUUCUGAAUGCUGUGAAGGACGCUCACGCCCUGACUUGCAGGCUCAAGUUUAGAAACUUCUCUCUGUAGGCCAGAUCCCAAGUUCACCAGUAGAUGUCACCCUGGUCCCACCAAAGUUUCUCACUGACGCACACCAGAAAGUUUCAGGGUCCAUGGAAGCAGGUUGAGGAGGAAAUCAGAGACGAGAUUAGCCUCCUCUUGGUCACAAAGGAUAAAGUAGGGAUAGGAUGCUGUGAGGAUGAAGUGAAAUGGAGGACCUUGUGCAGAGCUGGGGCUACAGAAGAUAAAGUUGGUGCACCCCCGAAACACCCCUGAACGCCACUGUAGUGUUGUUCAUGCAUCUCAGCACCUAUGGCCUCCUCCAGUCUGCUUUGCCCUAAGGUAGAGAGAACCAGAACUGCCUGGAGAUGAUGUCCCACCACUGCAACCCUUAAACAAUGACCAAUGGGCCAGAAGAACGCUCAGCCACCUUGACUCGGUCUGGAUGGCCCCCGAAAUGUCACUUCCUGCACCUGAGCCCUGGGUGGGUGGAGGCUGGAGCAAUGGCUUCAAGGCCUUGCCUGGUUUGCUCCUUGUUGAACUGCACCCCGCCAAACCGUCCCCCCUGUCUCCCCCUGCCGCCUUCCUGCUGCCCCUGUCUCCCUCACCUGCUUCCCCUUGGAAGUCAUUCUUCCAUAAAUCACUGUACAUGAAACCUCAUCUCAGGGUCUGCUUCUGGGGAACCUCAUCUAAGACACUGGUUUACAGUUGAUGCGCAAAAAAAGUUGGUUCCUUUCCCCCGUGAUCAUCUAUCUGUCUGCUUCAGGUAACAGUGGGAUUUACCCAGAGUGGCCCCAGCGCGCCCCUGCCUUUUCCUGAAGGAGGACCAGCAUCGCGAGUCUAUCCAGCUGACCUGUUCUCUGUCUGCUGUCCCUCUGAGCCCGGCUGAGGCUGGUUCUGGGAACCAAUGUGUCUCUUGUGGUCCUUGGGAGUCAAGAUUCAAGCAUUUCAGAUAGAUAAGUCUGCUUGUUGAAGAAAUGAGACUUUUUUCUUCCUAGUGCUGGCUCCUACGUCUUCUUUCCAUUCAGAGCUGAAAUACCCACUCCCUCCAGAGAUUUGUUUAAAUACUACAUGAACUAGCUUCCUAUUUCCCUGUAUUGAACUGGAUCCAUGAGGGCACAGCCAAUAAACACGAGAAGCAAUAAAUGCCCACACUUAUCAAGGGUCAGGAGCGCGUGACACCCAAGGCACUGACACCUUCAAUUUGCCUUUUUCUAAGCCUAUGAAAUAGUCUAGGCUUUUCGAAAACUUGACUGCACAAAACCAGCUGCUGAAUGUAACCACACUGUGAACGACGAACUAAGUCAACUGUGACUCAAGUAUUUUUCACACAAACUGUGUCUUCACAAAAGCCACUGGGGCAGGGAAGGGGGUGGGGACGCUAAAAUAUGGAUGCUUGCGGUAGAAGUUGACUGGAGGCCUGACCAUCCUGGCAAUCCCCUCAGUGACUCCGUUUCACUUUGCCAUUUCACACAGCAAGUUGGAAGAAACCCUUGUUAGGCCUGGUUAGGAAAGGGUCUUAUGAAUUCACUGCCAGGAAUGGAAAAGAUGGAUCUCUAAUCUUAAUAUCUGAUGGGGAUUCUGAUUUACCUCUUGCAGGUUUGCAGAGAGCAAAAGCAGCUUGCCUGGGACUCUCCUGGCAGUCCAGUGGUAAAGAAUCCGCCUUCCAACGCAGGGGACGCGGGUUCGAUCGCUAGUUGGAGAACUAAGAUCCCACAUGCCGGGGUGGGGGGCAACUAAGCCCAUGUACCACAACUACUGAGCUCGCGCGCCUCAACUAGAGAGCCCAUGUACCACAAACUAUAGAGCCCAUGCGCCCUGGAGCCCGCGCCACAGCUAGAGAGAAACCUGAGCAGGCCACGCGCCCUAACGAAAAAGAUCCCGCACGCCACAAAAAGAUCCUGUGUGCUGCAACUAAGACCCAACGCAGCCAAAAAAAAAAAAAAAAAAAAAAAGAAAUAAGGAAAAUAAAUAAA